This 136-nucleotide microRNA precursor is filed under the name Aegilops tauschii. Its description in RNAcentral is "miR396d stem-loop (ata-MIR396d)". Its record names the gene ata-MIR396d. The record is from miRBase by way of RNAcentral. Lineage: Eukaryota; Viridiplantae; Streptophyta; Magnoliopsida; Poales; Poaceae.
GGGCAUGCUCUCCACAGGCUUUCUUGAACUGUGAACUCGCGGGGAUGGGGAUUCCCUGGAUUGUGGCGCUCCUGCCUUCUCUUCGGCCGUCUCCGCCUGUUGAUGGUUCAAGAAAGCCCAUGGAAACCAUGCCCGC